AACGAACGCUGGCGGCAGGCCUAACACAUGCAAGUCGAGCGAGGACUUCGGUUCUAGCGGCGGACGGGUGAGUAACGCGUGGGAAUGUGCCCUUCUCUACGGAAUAUCCCUGGUAAACUGGGAGUAAUACCGUAUACGCCCUAUUGGGGAAAGAUUUAUCGGAGAAGGAUCAGCCCGCGUUGGAUUAGGUAGUUGGUGGGGUAAUGGCCUACCAAGCCGUCGAUCCAUAGCUGGUUUGAGAGGAUGAUCAGCCACACUGGGACUGGGACACGGCCCAGACUACUAGGGGAGGCAGCAGUGGGGAAUCUUAGAAAAUGGGGGCAACGAUGAUCGAGCCAUGCCGCGUGAGUGAUGAAGGCCUUAGGGAAGUAAAGCUCGUUCAGAUGGGAAGAUAAUGACGGUACCAGAAGAAGAAGCACCGGCUAACUCCGUG
This 433-nucleotide ribosomal RNA is filed under the name uncultured bacterium. Its description in RNAcentral is "partial 16S ribosomal RNA". It matches the Rfam family "Bacterial small subunit ribosomal RNA", at positions 29 to 507 of the family's 1533-position model. The record is from RNAcentral.